This 328-nucleotide ribosomal RNA is filed under the name uncultured eukaryote. RNAcentral describes it as "partial 18S ribosomal RNA". It matches the Rfam family "Eukaryotic small subunit ribosomal RNA", at positions 1470 to 1796 of the family's 1831-position model. The record is from RNAcentral.
CCCUUAGAUGUCCGGGGCUGCACGCGCGCUACACUGAAGGAAUCAGCGUGCUAAAACCAUUGUCGAAAGGCAUUGGUAAACCCAUUAAAAUCCUACGUGAUUGGGAUCGGGGAUUGCAAUUAUUUCCCUUGAACGAGGAAUUCCCAGUAAGUGUGGGUCAUAAGCUCGCGUUGAUUACGUCCCUGCCCUUUGUACACACCGCCCGUCGCUGCCCGGGACUGAGCCGUUUCGAGAAAAGCGGGGACUGCUGCUGUCGGGGCUUUCGGGCCUUGGCUUCGGUGGAAACCGCUUUAAUCGCAGUGGCUUGAACCGGGCAAAAGUCGUANCA